RNAcentral lists this ribosomal RNA (619 nucleotides) under uncultured bacterium. RNAcentral describes it as "bacterial SSU rRNA". It matches the Rfam family "Bacterial small subunit ribosomal RNA", at positions 338 to 950 of the family's 1533-position model. The record is from RNAcentral.
CCUACGGGAGGCAGCAGUGGGGAAUUUUGGACAAUGGGCGCAAGCCUGAUCCAGCAAUGCCGCGUGAGUGAAGAAGGCCUUCGGGUUGUAAAGCUCUUUUGUCAGGGAAGAAACGGUCUACUCUAAUACAGUGGGCUAAUGACGGUACCUGAAGAAUAAGCACCGGCUAACUACGUGCCAGCAGCCGCGGUAAUACGUAGGGUGCAAGCGUUAAUCGGAAUUACUGGGCGUAAAGCGUGCGCAGGCGGUUAUAUAAGUCAGAUGUGAAAUCCCCGGGCUCAACCUGGGAACUGCAUUUGAGACUGUAUGGCUAGAGUGUGUCAGAGGGGGGUAGAAUUCCACGUGUAGCAGUGAAAUGCGUAGAUAUGUGGAGGAAUACCGAUGGCGAAGGCAGCCCCCUGGGAUAACACUGACGCUCAUGCACGAAAGCGUGGGGAGCAAACAGGAUUAGAUACCCUGGUAGUCCACGCCCUAAACGAUGUCUACUAGUUGUCGGGACUUAAUUGUCUUGGUAACGCAGCUAACGCGUGAAGUAGACCGCCUGGGGAGUACGGUCGCAAGNUUAAAACUCAAAGUAUAGUACGCGNGAGAGAGCGACGAGACGACGAGGAGGAGGAGG